Molecule: ribosomal RNA, 434 nt
Filed under: uncultured Lachnospiraceae bacterium
Lineage: Bacteria; Bacillati; Bacillota; Clostridia; Lachnospirales; Lachnospiraceae
Description: partial 16S ribosomal RNA
Rfam family: Bacterial small subunit ribosomal RNA
Source: RNAcentral
ACGGGAGGCAGCAGUGGGGAAUAUUGGACAAUGGGGGAAACCCUGAUCCAGCGACGCCGCGUGAGUGAAGAAGUAUUUCGGUAUGUAAAGCUCUAUCAGCAGGGAAGAUAAUGACGGUACCUGACUAAGAAGCCCCGGCUAACUACGUGCCAGCAGCCGCGGUAAUACGUAGGGGACAAGCGUUAUCCGGAUUUACUGGGUGUAAAGGGUGCGCAGGCGGCAAAGUAAGUCAGAAGUGAAAGCCCGUGGCUCAACUGCGGGACUGCUUUUGAAACUGCUAAGCUAGAGUACUGGAGGGGUAAGCGGAAUUCCUAGUGUAGCGGUGAAAUGCGUAGAUAUUAGGAAGAACACCGGAGGCGAAGGCGGCUUACUGGACAGAAACUGACGCUCAGGCACGAAGGCGUGGGGAGCAAACAGGAUUAGAUACCCUGGUA